RNAcentral lists this non-coding RNA (32 nucleotides) under Prorocentrum micans. Lineage: Eukaryota; Dinophyceae; Prorocentrales; Prorocentraceae. RNAcentral also lists the same sequence under 2 other names. The record is from RNAcentral.
UUUUUUUUUUUUUUUUUUUUUUUUUUUUUUCU